RNAcentral lists this ribosomal RNA (467 nucleotides) under uncultured bacterium. Its description in RNAcentral is "partial 16S ribosomal RNA". It matches the Rfam family "Bacterial small subunit ribosomal RNA", at positions 29 to 507 of the family's 1533-position model. The record is from RNAcentral.
ACGCACGCUGGCGGCGUGCUUAACCCAUGCCAGUCGAACGGAAAGGCCCUGCUUUUGUGGGGUGCUCGAGUGGCGAACGGGUGAGUAACACGUGAGUAACCUGCCCUUGACUUUGGGAUAACUUCAGGAAACUGGGGCUAAUACCGGAUAGGAGCUCCUGCUGCAUGGUGGGGGUUGGAAAGUUUCGGCGGUUGGGGGUGGACUCGCGGCUUAUCAGCUUGUUGGUGGGGUAGUGGCUUACCAAGGCUUUGACGGGUAGCCGGCCUGAGAGGGUGACCGGCCACAUUGGGACUGAGAUACGGCCCAGACUCCUACGGGAGGCAGCAGUGGGGAAUAUUGCACAAUGGGCGGAAGCCUGAUGCAGCAACGCCGCGUGCGGGAUGACGGCCUUCGGGUUGUAAACCGCUUUCGCCUGUGACGAAGCGUGAGUGACGGUAAUGGGUAAAGAAGCACCGGCUAACUACGUG